GAUGAAGAACGUAGCGAAAUGCGAUAAGUAAUGUGAAUUGCAGAAUUCAGUGAAUCAUCGAAUCUUUGAACGCACCUUGCGCCCUUUGGCCAUUCCGAAGGGCAUGCCUGUUUGAGUAUCAUGAACACCUCAACUCUUUAUGGUUUUCCAUGAUGAGCUUGGACUCUGGGGGUUUUGCUGGCUCACAGUCGGCUCCUCUAAAAUGAAUCAGCUUACCAGUGUUUGGUGGGUAUCAUGGGUGUGAUAACUAUCUACGCUUGUGGUUUCUCCACCAGGUAACCUUCAGCAGUGGAGGUUCGCUGGAGCUCAUAGAUGUCUCUCCUCAGUGAGGACAGCCCUUUGAAUGUUUGAUCUCAAAUCAGGUAGGACUACCCGCUGAACUUAAGCAUAUCAAUAAGCGGAGGA
Molecule: unclassified non-coding RNA, 405 nt
Filed under: soil metagenome
Description: partial contains 5.8S ribosomal RNA, internal transcribed spacer 2, and large subunit ribosomal RNA
Rfam family: 5.8S ribosomal RNA (bases 1-121)
Source: RNAcentral